GAUUUCUGGUACGAUAUGCCUGGCCCGUCCUCGUCAGAGGCUCGAGUGCUGGUGUGUGUCUGCCAUCUUUCUAGAGAGCGGCACUUCCCUUCAUUGGAGAGGUGUCCGUCAUCUAGAUCUUUUACUUUGAAAAAAUUAGAGUGUUUAAAGCAGGCUUGCGCUAUGAAUACAUUAGCAUGGAAUAAUAAUUUAGGACUUUGGUUCUAUUUUGUUGGUUUCUAGAACUGAAGUAAUGAUUGAUAGGGAUGGUUGGGGGUGCUCGUAUUCAGUGGCCAGAGGUGAAAUUCUCGGAUUCACUGAAGACGAACUUAUGCGAAAGCAUU
This 323-nucleotide ribosomal RNA is filed under the name uncultured Paracercomonas. RNAcentral's name for it is "SSU rRNA". The stretch from base 105 to 323 matches the Rfam family "Eukaryotic small subunit ribosomal RNA", at positions 735 to 955 of the family's 1831-position model. The record is from RNAcentral. Lineage: Eukaryota; Cercozoa; Cercomonadida; Cercomonadidae.